RNAcentral lists this ribosomal RNA (496 nucleotides) under uncultured bacterium. RNAcentral describes it as "bacterial SSU rRNA". It matches the Rfam family "Bacterial small subunit ribosomal RNA", at positions 903 to 1397 of the family's 1533-position model. The record is from RNAcentral.
AAAGGAAUAGACGGGGACCCGCACAAGCAGCGGAGCAUGUGGUUUAAUUCGAAGCAACGCGAAAAACCUUACCAAGGCUUGACAUCGUAUGCAUAUCUAAGAGAUUAGAGAAAUGAUAGCAAUAUCACAUAUAGACAGAUGGUGCAUGGUUGUCGUCAGCUCGUGUCGUGAGAUGUUGGGUUAAGUCCCGCAACGAGCGCAACCCCUGUUGUUAGUUACCAAUAUUAAGUUAGGAACUCUAGCAAGACUGCCGUGGAUAACACGGAGGAAGGUGGGGAUGACGUCAAAUCAUCAUGCCUCUUACGCCUUGGGCUACACACGUGCUAUAAUGGCCAUUACAAAGAGCUGCAAUAUGGUAACAUGGAGCCAAUCUCAAAAAAAUGGUCUCAGUUCGGACUGUGGGCUGCAACCCGCCCACACGAAGUCAGAGUUGCUAGUAAUCCCGAAUCAGCAUGUCGGGGUGAAUGCGUUCCCGGGUCUUGCACACACCGCCCGU